This 72-nucleotide transfer RNA is filed under the name Ictidomys tridecemlineatus (thirteen-lined ground squirrel). Its description in RNAcentral is "Spermophilus tridecemlineatus (thirteen-lined ground squirrel) tRNA". It matches the Rfam family "tRNA". Rfam says of the family: Transfer RNA (tRNA) molecules are approximately 80 nucleotides in length. Lineage: Eukaryota; Metazoa; Chordata; Mammalia; Rodentia; Sciuridae. The record is from Rfam by way of RNAcentral.
GGGGGUGUGGCUCAGUGGUAGAGCACUUGCAUAGCAUGUAUGUGUCCCUGGAUUCCAUUUCUAGCACCCCCU